Molecule: long non-coding RNA, 1405 nt
Filed under: Dicentrarchus labrax (European seabass)
Lineage: Eukaryota; Metazoa; Chordata; Actinopteri; Moronidae
Description: lncRNA (ENSDLAG00005031160.1)
Source: RNAcentral
GAGAAACUCAUGUCUGAAGAAAGAAAAAAAAGGCUGGCCUCUAAACUUAAGGGACGUUUUUUUUUUUUUUUUUUUGUGUCGUAUCCUGCAUUGGAAAUGUCACAUAAGGUUACUGAAGAUCCACCCUUAUCCUGCCUGGCGGGUUGAAGUGAAGUGCAGCCCUGUUUUAGUGCGCUUCAAGUACUCCAUUUUUUUCUCUCCCUUGUCCCCCCCUAAUUGUCCUCAUUGAGCCGUGUGGACCAGUUGCACAGCCUGUCUGGCUGGGGUCAGCGAGUUUACCGUGUGCUUUUUAUCUAUAUUUCAUGCUAUGGCGCUGCGCGCUGACAGCCACACAUCCACCAUGAGAAAAUUCAGAGACGCACAAGGAAUGCCGAAAGGGCAAAAUGAAGAUCAUUCAAGCAUCAAGUCACAUUUUCUAUAGCAAUAAAAUACAAUAAAGCGUCGUUUAAUUUUCCUUUGAAUGUAAACAAAAAUGACAGAAAGCACACGGCGCAAAAGUGACCUAUGCAGUCAUAAAUUGGAAACUGAAGUGGAGUACAAAUAGACGAUAAAUAUAACUACUACUUUCCGGAUUGGUAGCAAUUAAAUAAGCGAUUAUAAGAGUGAAAAAAAAAUAAAACGUCGCCUACUUACGAUUCAUUUCAAUAACUUCUGGGCGUUAUUGUCUCGCCCCUGCGCCUCUCCGGUCGUUUGGAGACGGAAAAAAGUCUGUUCCUCCGGCGAAGCAGGGCCAUUCUCAUCGAGGGGAUUGUCAGGCUUCAUCUGAUGGCGAUAAAGUUUGCAUAAGAUAACACCUGGUUAAUUCUGCCGAGGACAGUGGACGUCCGAUUCCGCCGAUGUCAGGUCUUCAGUGAUGCCUGCACUCGCCGGGAUUGAGCGCUGUGAGGAGAGGGAGCGCACAGAAAGGCGUCAUGUGAGCCGGGGAGAGGUGCGCCAUUGGCCAGCCGGGGAUAAGUAUGAUAAGGCUGCUCUGUGCGCCAUUGGCCCACGACGGGAGCGGAGGCGCCUCCUCACUUGGCUGUGCGCAAGAAUGUGGGGAGGGGGCAUAGACAGAAGAGAAAAAUAUCCAGAGAUCCAGGUCAGCUGUGAGGCCUCAGCUGGAGUGGAGGGCUACACCUGUCGGCGCCCGGGGGCCUCUCUCUCUCGCGCGCGCUCUCCGUCGUCUUUCUGUCUCUCUCUUUCUGUCCAGCUGGACGUGCAGGAGCCUUUCAACCCCCCACCCAGCCUCCACCUCCCGGAUCCAGGCCAGUUCAGCCCAGCCAUGCGUGGCCAUCUCUGGGAAUUCAUUCCGGAUGCUUCCUGUUCAUUGCAUCCACUUCUCUCGCUCUCUCUUCUCUCUUUAUCUGUCACUCCACCCCCACAACCCUGCAUCUACAUGUCUUUCUCUUUAGUAUCUGUCCCAUAA